UACGUAGGCAGCAAGCGUUGUUCGGAAUUACUGGGCGUAAAGAGUGUGUAGGCGGUGCUCUAAGUUCGGUGUGAAAUCUCCCGGCUCAACUGGGAGGGUGCGCCGGAAACUGGAAUGCUUGAGCGUGGGAGAGGAAAGCGGAAUUCCUGGUGUAGCGGUGAAAUGCGUAGAUAUCAGGAGGAACACCUGUGGCGAAAGCGGCUCACUGGACCACAACUGACGCUGAUGCACGAAAGCUAGGGGAGCAAACAGG
Molecule: ribosomal RNA, 253 nt
Filed under: uncultured bacterium
Lineage: Bacteria
Description: partial 16S ribosomal RNA
Rfam family: Bacterial small subunit ribosomal RNA
Source: RNAcentral